CCUACGGGCGGCAGCAGUAGGGAAUAUUGCUCAAUGGGGGAAACCCUGAAGCAGCAACGCCGCGUGGAGGAUGAAGGUUUUCGGAUUGUAAACUCCUUUUGUUAGAGAAGAUAAUGACGGUAUCUAACGAAUAAGCACCGGCUAACUCCGUGCCAGCAGCCGCGGUAAUACGGAGGGUGCAAGCGUUACUCGGAAGCACUGGGCGGAAAGAGCGCGUAGGCGGGAUAGCAAGUCAGAUGUGAAAUCCUAUGGCUUAACCAUAGAACUGCAUUUGAAACUGUUAUUCUAGAGUAUGGGAGAGGUAAGUGGAAUUCUUGGUGUAGGGGUAAAAUCCGUAGAGAUCAAGAGGAAUACUCAUUGCGAAGGCGACCUGCUAGAACAUAACUGACGCUGAUGCGCGAAAGCGUGGGGAGCAAACAGGAUUAGAUACCCUUGUAGUC
Molecule: ribosomal RNA, 440 nt
Filed under: uncultured bacterium
Lineage: Bacteria
Description: partial 16S ribosomal RNA
Rfam family: Bacterial small subunit ribosomal RNA
Source: RNAcentral